CCUUCAGGGGGGGGGUGGAACAAUCCCCUAAGGAGUUCUGUUCUGUCCCCAGGGUGCCAAGCCCCAGGUCCAAGGACUUGGGCAAAUGCUGCUCUCUAUUCCUGGAAAAAAGGGCAUUGACUAAGCUUUUUCCUAGGCCAUGACUACGUAAUCCCAGGCUCUCUGACAUUGGUUCAUUCUGAUUUAAGCAAACAGAGUUGCAGGGUCCUGAGGUUACCAGGGCCCACUUUAGCAAAAAGACUUGGUUAAGUUUUGUUACCUAUGUGUGUAUAUCUACUCUGAGCUCUGAUCACUUGGCUUUUUGACCUGGAAAUGUGAUUUUUAUCAGCUCACCCAGGCAUAACUGGAAACUCAAGCUCUCCCACAUCAGAGCAUCAAUAUGUUAAUUAAUAGCAGGGACAGUCAACUGCCAGGUGGCCAGUGGUAGUCACCAGGGCCCUUAGCUACUAGCUUACGAGCAGAGAGAUUGAACAGAGGUCAGAGGCUCACCGAGGAGCCUAGGAUCAGAACAUGAGUGAAGAUGCUUGGCUGGUCACUCUAUCCUGGUGGGCUGGUUUAAGACAUCCCUACCAUUGGUCUUCUCUCUUGGGUCUUAGAUGGGUAGGUAUGUUGUUAUUCUUUUUAGUUUGGCAGUGAUAGAAAUACAUAAUCACAGUUAUAGUUUGGGUAAAUUUAUAGUACCUCCUAUGGUAUAAUAGGUAUCAACUACACGGUUAAUAUGUGCCAGACACUGUGAGAGGUGACUUCAUGAAUGACUUCAUUUACUGACUAAUUACUUUUCCAUGUCAUCAGGAUUUGUGUAGGUUUCACAGAGAGGCAAUCUUUUCUUCCUGACCUAAUCCUGAUUUGUCUAAUUCCUGAAAUCCCUCAGAGUUCUGAGAUGCACCAGAUGCCACCAUCUUCUGCUACAGUUAUGAAGAGCUUGCUGGUGAGCAUAGGUACCGAUGUGCUCAAAGUAGGACUUGGAGAUGGAGAAGAGGCCACCAGCAAACGUCGGGGAUCUGGAGAGACAGAGGGAGAAGCAUUUGAGAUUUUCAAUGAACUUCUGCAUAUAUGACUACAUUUGACCCUCGGAGUAAUAACUGUGUUAGGUAAGGCUGAUAUCCUCAUUCUCAUUUUACAAAUGAGGAAACUGACUCUCAGUGGCACAGUCAGAAUGUAAACCCAAAAUCCUGACUCUAAGUCUAGCACAAUCCCCAAUAUAUAUCACUGCUCUUAGGGAAUAAUUAUUUCCCUGACAAUGGUGGGGAGGUGUUUUGGUUUUGGGCAAGAGGGAAGCCUUCCUGGUCCCAUGUGGCCCUAUAAAAAGGCCCCACACAAACCAGUUCUCGGUGCUAACAGGAGGCCUCUGUGAGGGGGCUGAGCUCAGAACAAGGCGCAAAUGGGGGUGAGGGGGAGGGAUGAGUGCCUGUGGCCCCAAAGCACACUCCCAGCUGGUCACCAGUUGUUUUAGGGCUAUUUGUGCCGCCUGAUAAAACAUUCUUGGGGUUGCCCUGAGAAAGGGGUAGAAGUGGCUAGAGUGGUCCCAAGCCUCUCUCACU
Non-coding RNA from Microcebus murinus (gray mouse lemur), 1541 nucleotides. Lineage: Eukaryota; Metazoa; Chordata; Mammalia; Primates; Cheirogaleidae. The record is from RefSeq and is a predicted model, not a curated record.